This 1152-nucleotide ribosomal RNA is filed under the name Vibrio splendidus FF-500. RNAcentral describes it as "bacterial LSU rRNA". It matches the Rfam family "Bacterial large subunit ribosomal RNA", at positions 393 to 1551 of the family's 2925-position model. RNAcentral also lists the same sequence under 1 other name. Lineage: Bacteria; Pseudomonadati; Pseudomonadota; Gammaproteobacteria; Vibrionales; Vibrionaceae. The record is from RNAcentral.
UCAUAAUCAGUGAAAACGAGUAGGGCGGGACACGUGAUAUCCUGUCUGAAUAUGGGGGGACCAUCCUCCAAGGCUAAAUACUACUGACUGACCGAUAGUGAACCAGUACCGUGAGGGAAAGGCGAAAAGAACCCCUGUGAGGGGAGUGAAAUAGAACCUGAAACCGUGUACGUACAAGCAGUAGGAGCACCUUCGUGGUGUGACUGCGUACCUUUUGUAUAAUGGGUCAGCGACUUAAUUUUAGUAGCAAGGUUAACCGUUUAGGGGAGCCGUAGGGAAACCGAGUCUUAACUGGGCGUACAGUUGCUAGGAUUAGACCCGAAACCAGGUGAUCUAGCCAUGGGCAGGUUGAAGGUUGAGUAACAUCAACUGGAGGACCGAACCGACUAAUGUUGAAAAAUUAGCGGAUGACUUGUGGCUAGGGGUGAAAGGCCAAUCAAACCUGGAGAUAGCUGGUUCUCCCCGAAAGCUAUUUAGGUAGCGCCUCGGACGAAUACUACUGGGGGUAGAGCACUGUUAAGGCUAGGGGGUCAUCCCGACUUACCAACCCUUUGCAAACUCCGAAUACCAGUAAGUACUAUCCGGGAGACACACGGCGGGUGCUAACGUCCGUCGUGGAGAGGGAAACAACCCAGACCGCCAGCUAAGGUCCCAAAGUAUAGCUAAGUGGGAAACGAUGUGGGAAGGCUCAGACAGCCAGGAUGUUGGCUUAGAAGCAGCCAUCAUUUAAAGAAAGCGUAAUAGCUCACUGGUCGAGUCGGCCUGCGCGGAAGAUGUAACGGGGCUAAGCUAUACACCGAAGCUGCGGCUACGUACCUUAGGGUAUGUGGGGUAGGGGAGCGUUCUGUAAGCCGUUGAAGGUGGUCUGUAAGGGCUGCUGGAGGUAUCAGAAGUGCGAAUGCUGACAUGAGUAACGAUAAAGGGAGUGAAAAACUCCCUCGCCGGAAGACCAAGGGUUCCUGUCCAACGUUAAUCGGGGCAGGGUAAGUCGACUCCUAAGGCGAGGCCGAAAGGCGUAGUCGAUGGGAAACGGGUUAAUAUUCCCGUACUUCUUACAAUUGCGAUGGGGGGACGGAGAAGGCUAGGUGGGCCUGGCGACGGUUGUCCAGGUUCAAGUACGUAGGCGGAAAGUUUAGGUAAAUCCGGACUUUC